GGAGGGGUGGCCGAGAGGUCCAAGGCGGCGGUUUGCUAAACCGUGGCGGGGUAAAACCCGCCCGUGGGUUCGAAUCCCACCCCCUCCGCCA
This 91-nucleotide transfer RNA is filed under the name Pseudomonadota bacterium. RNAcentral's name for it is "tRNA-Ser". It matches the Rfam family "tRNA". From Rfam's summary of the family: Transfer RNA (tRNA) molecules are approximately 80 nucleotides in length. Their secondary structure includes four short double-helical elements and three loops (D, anti-codon, and T loops). RNAcentral also lists the same sequence under 1 other name. Lineage: Bacteria; Pseudomonadati; Pseudomonadota. The record is from RNAcentral.